GAAUAUUGGACAAUGGGCGCAAGCCUGAUCCAGCCAUGCCGCGUGUGUGAAGAAGGCCUUCGGGUUGUAAAGCACUUUCAGCGAGGAGGAAGGGUGUUGUGUUAAUAGCACAGCAUUUUGACGUUACUCGCAGAAGAAGCACCGGCUACCUCCGUGCCAGCAGCCGCGGUAAUACGGAGGGUGCAAGCGUUAAUCGGAAUUACUGGGCGUAAAGCGCACGUAGGUGGUUUUGUAAGUCGGAUGUGAAAGCCCUGGGCUUAACCUGGGAAUUGCAUUCGAUACUGCUUGACUAGAGUAUGGUAGAGGGAAGUGGAAUUUCCGGUGUAGCGGUGAAAUGCGUAGAUAUCGGAAGGAACACCAGUGGCGAAGGCGACUUCCUGGGCCAAUACUGACACUGAGGUGCGAAAGCGUGGGUAGCAAACAGG
RNAcentral lists this ribosomal RNA (425 nucleotides) under uncultured bacterium. RNAcentral's name for it is "bacterial SSU rRNA". It matches the Rfam family "Bacterial small subunit ribosomal RNA", at positions 359 to 776 of the family's 1533-position model. The record is from RNAcentral.